RNAcentral lists this ribosomal RNA (152 nucleotides) under uncultured eukaryote. RNAcentral describes it as "partial 18S ribosomal RNA". It matches the Rfam family "Eukaryotic small subunit ribosomal RNA", at positions 1299 to 1458 of the family's 1831-position model. The record is from RNAcentral.
UGGUGGAGUGAUUUGUCUGGAAAUAUUUCCGUUAACGAACGAGACCUCGACCUGCUAAAUAGUUUGGCGAAUUCCCUGUGGAUGAAACACAUAUAACUUCUUAGAGGGACUGUCGGUUCGCAAAAAGCCGGUUGAAGUUCGAGGCAAUAACA